RNAcentral lists this ribosomal RNA (2045 nucleotides) under Salmonella enterica. RNAcentral describes it as "partial 23S ribosomal RNA". It matches the Rfam family "Bacterial large subunit ribosomal RNA", at positions 774 to 2802 of the family's 2925-position model. RNAcentral also lists the same sequence under 1 other name. The record is from RNAcentral. Lineage: Bacteria; Pseudomonadati; Pseudomonadota; Gammaproteobacteria; Enterobacterales; Enterobacteriaceae.
CCGAACCGACUAAUGUUGAAAAAUUAGCGGAUGACCUGUGGCUGGGGGUGAAAGGCCAAUCAAACCGGGAGAUAGCUGGUUCUCCCCGAAAGCUAUUUAGGUAGCGCCUCGUGAAUUCAUCUCCGGGGGUAGAGCACUGUUUCGGCUAGGGGGCCAUCCCGGCUUACCAACCCGAUGCAAACUGCGAAUACCGGAGAAUGUUAUCACGGGAGACACACGGCGGGUGCUAACGUCCGUCGUGAAGAGGGAAACAACCCAGACCGCCAGCUAAGGUCCCAAAGUCAUGGUUAAGUGGGAAACGAUGUGGGAAGGCCCAGACAGCCAGGAUGUUGGCUUAGAAGCAGCCAUCAUUUAAAGAAAGCGUAAUAGCUCACUGGUCGAGUCGGCCUGCGCGGAAGAUGUAACGGGGCUAAACCAUGCACCGAAGCUGCGGCAGCGACACUGUGUGUUGUUGGGUAGGGGAGCGUUCUGUAAGCCUGUGAAGGUGUGUCGUGAGGCAUGCUGGAGGUAUCAGAAGUGCGAAUGCUGACAUAAGUAACGAUAAAGCGGGUGAAAAGCCCGCUCGCCGGAAGACCAAGGGUUCCUGUCCAACGUUAAUCGGGGCAGGGUGAGUCGACCCCUAAGGCGAGGCCGAAAGGCGUAGUCGAUGGGAAACGGGUUAAUAUUCCCGUACUUGGUGUUACUGCGAAGGGGGGACGGAGAAGGCUAUGUUGGCCGGGCGACGGUUGUCCCGGUUUAAGCGUGUAGGCUGGUUUUCCAGGCAAAUCCGGAAAAUCAAGGCUGAGGCGUGAUGACGAGGCACUACGGUGCUGAAGCAACAAAUGCCCUGCUUCCAGGAAAAGCCUCUAAGCAUCAGGUAACAUCAAAUCGUACCCCAAACCGACACAGGUGGUCAGGUAGAGAAUACCAAGGCGCUUGAGAGAACUCGGGUGAAGGAACUAGGCAAAAUGGUGCCGUAACUUCGGGAGAAGGCACGCUGACACGUAGGUGAAGUGAUUUACUCAUGGAGCUGAAGUCAGUCGAAGAUACCAGCUGGCUGCAACUGUUUAUUAAAAACACAGCACUGUGCAAACACGAAAGUGGACGUAUACGGUGUGACGCCUGCCCGGUGCCGGAAGGUUAAUUGAUGGGGUCAGCGCAAGCGAAGCUCCUGAUCGAAGCCCCGGUAAACGGCGGCCGUAACUAUAACGGUCCUAAGGUAGCGAAAUUCCUUGUCGGGUAAGUUCCGACCUGCACGAAUGGCGUAAUGAUGGCCAGGCUGUCUCCACCCGAGACUCAGUGAAAUUGAACUCGCUGUGAAGAUGCAGUGUACCCGCGGCAAGACGGAAAGACCCCGUGAACCUUUACUAUAGCUUGACACUGAACAUUGAGCCUUGAUGUGUAGGAUAGGUGGGAGGCUUUGAAGUGUGGACGCCAGUCUGCAUGGAGCCGACCUUGAAAUACCACCCUUUAAUGUUUGAUGUUCUAACGUGGACCCGUUACCCGGGUUGCGGACAGUGUCUGGUGGGUAGUUUGACUGGGGCGGUCUCCUCCUAAAGAGUAACGGAGGAGCACGAAGGUUGGCUAAUCCUGGUCGGACAUCAGGAGGUUAGUGCAAUGGCAUAAGCCAGCUUGACUGCGAGCGUGACGGCGCGAGCAGGUGCGAAAGCAGGUCAUAGUGAUCCGGUGGUUCUGAAUGGAAGGGCCAUCGCUCAACGGAUAAAAGGUACUCCGGGGAUAACAGGCUGAUACCGCCCAAGAGUUCAUAUCGACGGCGGUGUUUGGCACCUCGAUGUCGGCUCAUCACAUCCUGGGGCUGAAGUAGGUCCCAAGGGUAUGGCUGUUCGCCAUUUAAAGUGGUACGCGAGCUGGGUUUAGAACGUCGUGAGACAGUUCGGUCCCUAUCUGCCGUGGGCGCUGGAGAACUGAGGGGGGCUGCUCCUAGUACGAGAGGACCGGAGUGGACGCAUCACUGGUGUUCGGGUUGUCAUGCCAAUGGCACUGCCCGGUAGCUAAAUGCGGAAGAGAUAAGUGCUGAAAGCAUCUAAGCACGAAACUUGCCCCGA